UAGGGAAUCUUCCACAAUGGACGAAAGUCUGAUGGAGCAACGCCGCGUGAGUGAAGAAGGGUUUCGGCUCGUAAAAACUCUGUUGUUAAAGAAGAACAUAUCUGAGAGUAACUGUUCAGGUAUUGACGGUAUUUAACCAGAAAGCCACGGCUAACUACGUGCCAC
Molecule: ribosomal RNA, 165 nt
Filed under: uncultured bacterium
Lineage: Bacteria
Description: partial 16S rRNA
Rfam family: Bacterial small subunit ribosomal RNA
Source: RNAcentral